Molecule: long non-coding RNA, 1038 nt
Filed under: Olea europaea (common olive)
Lineage: Eukaryota; Viridiplantae; Streptophyta; Magnoliopsida; Lamiales; Oleaceae
Description: long non-coding RNA (OEUR_LNC014274)
Source: RNAcentral
GUCGUGAUUGCUCAACGUCUUUAAACUAAGAACUUUUUUCCCCAAAACUACAGAAAAAAGGCAUACUCAAAUUAAAUGACACGAAUCUGAAUCAAAUAAGUUUUCCACAAAAUCAGAAAUGAAAACUAUAUGGUGCCAAAAUCCAGGGACAGCGAUAAGAAUUAAAAAACUUCACAAUUAUCCAACGGUCUUAGAGUACCCAUCAUCAUCUAAACUCCAAACCUCAUUUUAAGUAAAUUAUACACUAUCAUCCAUAAGGAUAAAUAGUCAUCGACUAACUUUCUUGGUGGGAAUUAAAUAGUGAUACACGUUAAUACAGUCUUCUCCAAACAAACAGCAACUAUGCUUAAACCAGCAAAAGACUCAACCAUAUCUCCACUAAAACUGGAAACAUCCAGUAAAACAUCUGUACAUGAAUGAUUCUAUAAACUCUUCAGAAACAGCUGUGCAAAUGAAAUCCAAGUAACACAAGCUGCCAUGUGCUUCAGUAACUUGGCAUAUUCCAAUGCAACCAAAAGAUCGCAUAGAUAGGAAACCUUAGACUAUCUUAAAGAUAUAUUGCAAAUCCUGCAACAAAGCUUCAACUAUUGUCUCCCUUUUGAGAAAAUAAUUAAUUAAAUAUUAAAACUAUCAUAUAAAUACAAUGGUUCAUAUUUAACAAAUUCUUUGAAUUUCAGAAAAAUCAAUAGAAAUAGCCCAUCUAAUUAAACAAAUCUGGAAAAGUAAUCAAAGAUUAAAACAAAGCUGAUUGGCACACCUUUACGACUGCUUGAAGAACACAAUCUGUACGCAAUAGAUCAGGCAAGAAUUUAUUGAUUUAAAUUCAAGACCAUGGCAGAUGAAGAGAUUGGGAUUGCAACCAUGGGAUCCACAAGAAAUUUUGAGGGUAGGAAAAUUGAAUUAAUUAGGUUUUAAUUGGUAGCAAUCGACCAAAAAGUUAAGCCAAAAAGAGGGAAUUAUUUUUGGUGAAAAUUUAUGAAGGCAAAACAGAGAGGGAAUGCCGAAUGUGUAAGUCAUGGGUUUUUAGAGUGGGUAUGG